Long non-coding RNA from Epinephelus fuscoguttatus (brown-marbled grouper), 581 nucleotides. RefSeq lists it as uncharacterized. NCBI's taxonomy places the organism in Eukaryota, Metazoa, Chordata, Actinopteri, Perciformes, Serranidae. The record is from RefSeq and is a predicted model, not a curated record. The transcript is spliced from 3 exons.
GCUAGUGGGGAUAGUGAACAACAACAAUAUCUGUUUUGAAUACAAAAAAAAAAAAAAAAGAUAAAUAGCAUAAUCACAGGGGAGUUGUGUCAGAUUUAAUAUUCUGGAUUUAUUUUACAAAGUUUUCAAAAAGACACCACAGUUGAAGGCUGGAUUAAAGCUUCUGAAAGGGAUAUCAUCGCAGCAGAGCUUUCGUUGGAACUGCAUGAUGUCCUAGUUACUUCACAACAAUGCAAGAAAACCAGUAAGACUGCGCUCUGCUAAAACUCAGCACAAACAACCCUGGCUGCAUAUCUGAGAUCAAGAAAUAGCCAGAGGCUGUGUGACUGAAGAACAACAAUGAAACUGGUGCUGACCUGACAAGCCAAAGCGAUGUGUGAAAGACUGCACAGAAGUCACAAAGAUGGAGGGACAAAAUGGAAAAACGAAGCCCAUGUUUAAAAUAAAGCAAAUGAUCCUCUAUUGGAAUGGUCAAAAAAUGAUUUUUAUAUAGUUAUAUAGACCAUAUAGUUAUGGAAACACAGCAGGUUAGAGUGUUGGCUGACUUUCUGAAAGCAUCUGAAUAAGGUCUUGUGGGGCAA